CGUGUAGGCGGCUUUGCAAGUCGGGUGUGAAAGCCCUCAGCUCAACUGAGGAAGUGCGCCCGAAACUGCAGAGCUUGAGUACCGGAGAGGAUGGCGGAAUUCCCCAAGUAGAGGUGAAAUCCGUAGAUAUGGGGAGGAACACCGGUGGCGAAGGCGGCCAUCUGGACGGAUACUGACGCUGAGACGCGAAAGCGUGGGGAGCAAACA
RNAcentral lists this ribosomal RNA (207 nucleotides) under uncultured bacterium. Its description in RNAcentral is "partial 16S ribosomal RNA". It matches the Rfam family "Bacterial small subunit ribosomal RNA", at positions 568 to 774 of the family's 1533-position model. The record is from RNAcentral.